GGAAGGCUGUGGCUCAGUAGCAGAGCCCUUGCUUGGCAUGCAGAAGGUCCAGAGUUCAACUUUUGGCAUCUCCA
Molecule: non-coding RNA, 74 nt
Organism: Podarcis lilfordi (Lilford's wall lizard)
Lineage: Eukaryota; Metazoa; Chordata; Lepidosauria; Squamata; Lacertidae
Source: the annotation of a GenBank genome assembly